GACGUAGGGCGCGAGCGUUGUCCGGAUUUAUUGGGCGUAAAGAGCUCGUAGGCGGCUUGUCGCGUCGUUCGUGAAAACUCGGGGCUUAACCCCGGGCCUGCAGUGGGUACGGGCAGACUAGAGUGCGGUAGGGGAGACUGGAAUUCCUGGUGUAGCGGUGAAAUGCGCAGAUAUCGGGAGGAACACCCGUAGCGAAGGCGGCACUCUGGGCCGGUACUGACGCUGAGGAGCGAAAGCGUGGGGAGCAAACAGG
RNAcentral lists this ribosomal RNA (253 nucleotides) under uncultured bacterium. Its description in RNAcentral is "partial 16S ribosomal RNA". It matches the Rfam family "Bacterial small subunit ribosomal RNA", at positions 524 to 776 of the family's 1533-position model. The record is from RNAcentral.